AAGGAAAACAGUGACAUGUGCAAG
This 24-nucleotide non-coding RNA is filed under the name Rattus norvegicus (Norway rat). The record is from RNAcentral. Lineage: Eukaryota; Metazoa; Chordata; Mammalia; Rodentia; Muridae.